Molecule: ribosomal RNA, 254 nt
Filed under: uncultured bacterium
Lineage: Bacteria
Description: partial 16S ribosomal RNA
Rfam family: Bacterial small subunit ribosomal RNA
Source: RNAcentral
UACAGAGGGGGCAAGCGUUUAUUCGGAAUUAUUGGGCGUAAAGGGCUCGUAGGCGGUUUGUCGCGUCGGGAGUGAAAACGCCGUGCUUAACACGGCGCUUGCUUUCGAUACGGGCAGACUAGAGGUAUGCAGGGGAGAACGGAAUUCCUGGUGUAGCGGUGAAAUGCGCAGAUAUCAGGAGGAACACCCGUGGCGAAAGCGGCUCUCUGGGACGGUACUGACGCUGAGACGCGAAAGCGUGGGGAGCGAACAGG